CACACGUCACGGGCGUUCAAAGAAUGUAGCUGGCACUGCUCCCUCCGGCCUCCUUCAAACCUUGCAGAGUGAACAUGGAGACAUGCACAGGUCCUUACGAAUUCAAGCCAACGUGUCCUAAAGACUCCAGCUGGUUCCUACAACCCAGACUUAAGAAAAGCAGGUUUCCUUUCAGCUUGAAACUGAACAAGUCUAUGGGCUAAAGAAGACCUGAGGACCCCCAGCAUGUGCGCACAACUGUCUAACAGCUGAUGGUGUCAUCUGUCCCUCCAGUGAUGGUCAAGGCUGAGGAGCUAAUAUGAGUGUCUGGACAGGUAUCUCUCUCCACCCCUCACUGUGCCUUGGGUGGCCCUCCCAAAGCCAGGUGUCAAAAAGAAUCAUAGCCCCAUGAAGAAUACAUUUUCCCAAGUGUCCAGGAAAGU
Molecule: long non-coding RNA, 422 nt
Organism: Mirounga angustirostris (Northern elephant seal)
Lineage: Eukaryota; Metazoa; Chordata; Mammalia; Carnivora; Phocidae
Exons: 3
Source: RefSeq, a predicted model, not a curated record